UGCAUUCACUACUGUAAAUCGCUCUGGAUAAGAGCAUCUGCUAAAUGACUAAAA
Salmo salar (Atlantic salmon) is the source of this 54-nucleotide non-coding RNA. Lineage: Eukaryota; Metazoa; Chordata; Actinopteri; Salmoniformes; Salmonidae. The record is from Rfam.